RNAcentral lists this long non-coding RNA (393 nucleotides) under Junco hyemalis (dark-eyed junco). RNAcentral describes it as "lncRNA (ENSJHYG00000017561.1)". The record is from RNAcentral. Lineage: Eukaryota; Metazoa; Chordata; Aves; Passeriformes; Passerellidae.
UGCUGUGAGUUUUGGGUGAUCUUACAAUUCCCAUUUUGCUGCUGAGAAACUAAGCACAAGCUUACUGAAAGUACCUUCUGUUGUUUAUUGUAUUUUCUGAGGCACUGAGGCCCUAGGCCACAGAGCACAGAAUUAACUCCAGGCAUUUUCACCCACAGCCAGGAGCAUUCCUCCUCACUGCUGUGUAUCCACUCCACAGCCACUGCUGACUAUCCACCCGUGCCUGAUCUCUGGAAAACUGGGAAGCCACUUUGGAAAUCUGACCUUGAAACAUCCAAUGCAUCCUUGUGGGCACAUUUCAGGAGAAAUCCAGAGGAGGAUGAGAGGUGGGUAAGGAGAAGUCACAAUGGUGUGGGACUUCUGCUGGUGCAAAGAGAGUGUGUCAAUAAUGCU